AGCGAACGCUGGCGGCAGGCCUAACACAUGCAAGUCGAGCGCCGUAGCAAUACGGAGCGGCAGGCGGGAGAGUAACACGUGGGAACGUACCCAUUGGUUCGGAACAACCCAGGGAAACUUGGGCUAAUAGCGGAUACGCCCUCACGGGGAAAGCUUUAUCGCCGAAGGAUCGGCCCGCGUAUGAUUAGCUAGUGGGUGGGGUAACGGCCCACUAAGGCGACGAUCAGUAGCUGGUCUGAGAGGAUGAUCAGCCUCACUGGGACUGAGACACGGCCCAGACUCCUACGGGAGGCAGCAGGGGGGAAUAUUGGACAAUGGGCGCAAGCCUGAUCCAGCCAUGCCGCGUGAGUGAUGAAGGCCUUAGGGUUGUAAAGCUCUUUCAGUAGGGAAGAUAAUGACGGUACCUACAGAAGAAGCCCCGGCUAACUUCGUGCCAGCAGCCGCCGUAA
This 449-nucleotide ribosomal RNA is filed under the name uncultured bacterium. RNAcentral describes it as "partial 16S ribosomal RNA". It matches the Rfam family "Bacterial small subunit ribosomal RNA", at positions 29 to 523 of the family's 1533-position model. The record is from RNAcentral.